GGUUCCAUGGUGUAGUGGUUAUCACAUCUGCUUUACAUGCAGGGGAUCCUGGGUUCGAUUCCCAGUGGAACCA
Molecule: transfer RNA, 73 nt
Filed under: Equus asinus (donkey)
Lineage: Eukaryota; Metazoa; Chordata; Mammalia; Perissodactyla; Equidae
Also listed under: 1 other name
Rfam family: tRNA
About the family: Transfer RNA (tRNA) molecules are approximately 80 nucleotides in length. Their secondary structure includes four short double-helical elements and three loops (D, anti-codon, and T loops).
Source: Rfam by way of RNAcentral